RNAcentral lists this ribosomal RNA (459 nucleotides) under uncultured bacterium. Its description in RNAcentral is "partial 16S ribosomal RNA". It matches the Rfam family "Bacterial small subunit ribosomal RNA", at positions 338 to 795 of the family's 1533-position model. The record is from RNAcentral.
CCUACGGGUGGCAGCAGUGAGGAAUAUUGGUCAAUGGGCGGGAGCCUGAACCAGCCAAGCCGCGUGAGGGAAGAAGGUACAGCGUAUCGUAAACCUCUUUUGUCAGGGAACAAAGGCGGGGACUAGUCCCCGGCUGAGGGUACCUGACGAAAAAGCAUCGGCUAACUCCGUGCCAGCAGCCGCGGUAAUACGGGGGAUGCGAGCGUUAUCCGGAUUUAUUGGGUUUAAAGGGUGCGCAGGCGGCCUGUUAAGUCAGCGGGAAAAGCCCGGGGCUCAACCCCGGCGCGCCGUUGAAACUGGCGGGCUGGAGUUGGAGAGAAGUACGCGGAAUGCGCGGUGUAGCGGUGAAAUGCUUAGAUAUCGCGCAGAACCCCGAUUGCGAAGGCAGCGUACCGGCUCCACACUGACGCUGAGGCACGAAAGCGUGGGUAUCGAACAGGAUUAGAUACCCUAGUAGUC